This 274-nucleotide ribosomal RNA is filed under the name uncultured bacterium. RNAcentral's name for it is "partial 16S ribosomal RNA". It matches the Rfam family "Bacterial small subunit ribosomal RNA", at positions 523 to 796 of the family's 1533-position model. The record is from RNAcentral.
AUACGGAGGGUGCAAGCGUUAAUCGGAAUUACUGGGCGUAAAGCGUUCGUAGGCGGUUAUUUAAGUUAGAUGUGAAAGCCCCGGGCUUAACCUGGGAACUGCAUUUAAAACUGGAUAACUAGAGUUUAGGAGAGGGAAGUGGAAUUUCAGGUGUAGCAGUGAAAUGCGUAGAGAUCUGAAGGAACACCAGUGGCGAAGGCGACUUCCUGGACUAGAACUGACGCUGAGGAACGAAAGCGUGGGUAGCAAACGGGAUUAGAAACCCCGGUAGUCC